AUGACCACAGCCUCUGUCAGCCGCGCCCCCACCCCCACCCCCACCCCCGCACCGUGGCCCCUGACGCGGAGGGCACACAGGCGUCUGUCACACUUCAGCAUUGUUUUCCUGCCUAUGCUUUCGAUCGCUGGUUUUAUUCCAACCCAUUCUCACUUUCUGUCUUGGAAAAUCACAAGGAAACUCCACGCUACUCCUGGAAUCCUUGCCAACGUGACUCAAGCGGAAUUGAGCACACGGCACUGGGUUCGCGCACAAACAAAGAUGUUGCUACUUUCGGCUCAGCGGCCUCCUUCCCGACAGCUUGGCUCCUCCCACCCUCGCCCAGGUGAAAAGAGGGUCGAGUGGGUGAGAGGCUGGGCCAGCACAGGAGCCGCCAGCCAGCUGGCUUCCCCAGGGCUGCCCACGGGGUGCUACGGCGGUGUCCCAGAACCGGUGGGUAAAUGUGGAGGUCGGAGGCCACAUGGGGGUGACCAGGAUGCUUCCUGCAGCUCAGCCCCGCCUGACGCCCCACUCAGCUCACUGCGAUUUCUACAUCCUGGCCUCUUCCCUGUUUCCUACUAUCUUGUGCCUGGGGAACUGAAUGGUCAAGGCCACUGCUCAUCUGGGCCCUGCAGGGCCAGCCUGGAUCUUGCUACAACUCCAAAGGCCUUGAAGAGGACUUCAUGGGCCCUGUGCGCCAUCACUGAGCUGCCUUGUUGGAUUUGGGUCCCACCGCCUACCAUUUAUUCCUCUGAGCAGCCUACGAGUACCAUCUGCCCUUCUAGGUAGGGCCCAGUCCUUAGCUCUUGCGAGGCUCCCUGUCCUGCCCCAUGUUAAGCACAGUGACUCAGUCAGUGGCUGCUGAAUGGGUUUGGCCUUCAAAAAAGGAGAAGGCUGUCUGGACACAAGGUACUCAGGAGGCUGAGGCAGGAGGAUUGCUUGAGUUUGGGAGAUCGAGGGCAGCCUGGGCAAUACAGUGAAACCCUGCCUCAAAAAUAAAACUAAAAACAGAACAUGCCAGCAGGAAGGGCACUCGACCUGUCACUGUUAUAUAGUAAGCAGAUGCCUUGGUGACGGGGCCAUAUUAAGUCCACUCGAACCUUGAAAGGCUGCUUAUUUCCCUGGUGAGAAUGGAGGAGACAGAGAGCCGGGGGAGGGAUCCUCUGUUCUGCCUUCAAGUUGCUUCGGGACCAGGAGGCACAAAGCAAGGGUUCGUGUUUCUCCUUCGAGAAAUUAGGUCACUGGGUGUCGUUAAGUGUGCCUCACAGAGCUAUGCUAAUCAGUUCUCUUCUGGCCUAAAUAUCUGGUAAUUAUCUUGGUUUUUUGCUUUGUUAGACUUGGCUUCCUAAAACAGUUCAUCCACGCUGUUACUUCUGGGCUCCUGCUUCUCCGGAAUAAUAUUAACCACCGUCCGGCAGCCAGCGCGCCUCUCCCUCGCCUCAUGAGGGGUGAUGUUCUGAGCCUUUACCCGCACGGACUCUUCAGCUCUCCCGCAUCUCGGGUUUAGAGCUCAGGACCCAAAGCUCACGGCUUCCGGGUCUCGGCCCCACUGUUUCAGCUCACCCCGCUCGCAGCGCCUGCCCGGGGCACGGCCAGCCCGUGGGUUUCCAGCGCACCCCAGGGCCCUGCUCUCUCCCUGUGCCCUUGGCUUCUUGUAUGAAUGAGGCAGGGUUCCCAGGACCGAGGUUUAUCACGGGGGUUGGCCCGUGUGAUUAUGCGGGCUCUAAGAUCUCGCGACACCCGCUGGGGAACCAGAAG
Molecule: long non-coding RNA, 1737 nt
Organism: Fukomys damarensis (Damara mole-rat)
Lineage: Eukaryota; Metazoa; Chordata; Mammalia; Rodentia; Bathyergidae
Source: Ensembl